GGAGGAAAGUAGGGGAUCGCAAGACCUUGCGCUCUUGGAGCGGCCGAUGCCUGAUUAGCUAGUUGGUGAGGUAAAGGCUUACCAAGGCGACGAUCAGUAGCUGGUCUGAGAGGACGACCAGCCACACUGGGACUGAGACACGGCCCAGACUCCUACGGGAGGCAGCAGUGGGGAAUUUUGGACAAUGGGGGAAACCCUGAUCCAGCCAUGCCGCGUGAGUGAAGAAGGCCUUCGGGUUGUAAAGCUCUUUCAGCCGGAACGAAACGGUCACGGCUAAUACCUGUGACUACUGACGGUACCGGAAGAAGAAGCACCGGCUAACUACGUGCCAGCAGCCGCGGUAAUACGUAGGGUGCAAGCGUUAAUCGGAAUUACUGGGCGUAAAGCGUGCGCAGGCGGUUUUGUAAGUCAGAUGUGAAAUCCCCGGGCUUAACCUGGGAACUGCGUUUGAAACUACAAAGCUAG
This 465-nucleotide ribosomal RNA is filed under the name uncultured Nitrosospira sp. RNAcentral's name for it is "bacterial SSU rRNA". It matches the Rfam family "Bacterial small subunit ribosomal RNA", at positions 198 to 644 of the family's 1533-position model. Lineage: Bacteria; Pseudomonadati; Pseudomonadota; Betaproteobacteria; Nitrosomonadales; Nitrosomonadaceae. The record is from RNAcentral. RNAcentral also lists the same sequence under 1 other name.